CAGUAGCCACGGGAAUACGAAGGGGGCUAGCGUUGUUCGGAAUUACUGGGCGUAAAGCGCACGUAGGCGGAUAUUUAAGUCAGGGGUGAAAUCCCAGAGCUCAACUCUGGAACUGCCUUUGAUACUGGGUAUCUUGAGUAUGGAAGAGGUGAGUGGAAUUCCGAGUGUAGAGGUGAAAUUCGUAGAUAUUCGGAGGAACACCAGUGGCGAAGGCGGCUCACUGGUCCAUUACUGACGCUGAGGUGCGAAAGCGUGGGGAGCAAACAGGAUUAGAUCCCCCGUAGUCCCUGUCUCUUAUACA
This 301-nucleotide ribosomal RNA is filed under the name uncultured bacterium. RNAcentral's name for it is "partial 16S ribosomal RNA". It matches the Rfam family "Bacterial small subunit ribosomal RNA", at positions 509 to 808 of the family's 1533-position model. The record is from RNAcentral.